RNAcentral lists this small RNA (30 nucleotides) under Bombyx mori (domestic silkworm). Its description in RNAcentral is "ovarian small RNA-33471". Lineage: Eukaryota; Metazoa; Arthropoda; Insecta; Lepidoptera; Bombycidae. The record is from RNAcentral.
UGCACUACUUGUGCGAAAUCAUUUAAACGC